UUUAUAUAGUUUAGAAAAAACACUAGAUUGUGAUUCCG
Molecule: transfer RNA, 38 nt
Filed under: Leposoma scincoides
Lineage: Eukaryota; Metazoa; Chordata; Lepidosauria; Squamata; Gymnophthalmidae
Description: partial tRNA-His
Source: RNAcentral